GCUGGGCGUGGUGGCUCACGCCUGUAAUCCUAGCACUUUGGGAGGCCGAGGUGGGUGGAUCACCUGAGGUCAGGAGUUCAAGACCAGCCUGGCCAUUAUGGUGAAACUCCAUCUUUU
Molecule: non-coding RNA, 117 nt
Organism: Callithrix jacchus (white-tufted-ear marmoset)
Lineage: Eukaryota; Metazoa; Chordata; Mammalia; Primates; Cebidae
Source: Rfam